Molecule: ribosomal RNA, 367 nt
Filed under: uncultured organism
Description: bacterial SSU rRNA
Rfam family: Bacterial small subunit ribosomal RNA
Source: RNAcentral
GGAGGGUGCAAGCGUUAUCCGGAUUUACUGGGUUUAAAGGGUGUGUAGGCGGGCAGUUAAGUCAGUGGUGAAAUCUCCGGGCUCAACCCGGAAACUGCCAUUGAUACUAUCUGUCUUGAAUAUCGUUGAGGUGGGCAGAAUAUGUCAUGUAGCGGUGAAAUGCAUAGAUAUGACAUAGAAUACCGAUUGCGAAGGCAGCUUGCUAAACGAUGAUUGACGCUGAGGCACGAAAGCGUGGGGAUCAAACAGGAUUAGAUACCCUGGUAGUCCACGCCCUAAACGAUGAUUACUCGACAUACGCGAUACACAGUGUGUGUCUGAGCGAAAGCAUUAAGUAAUCCACCUGGGAAGUACGUCCGCAAGGAUG